AGCUUAAAUUCCAACGUGAUUACAUCGUUCAUUAAAACCCACAGCCGAUGUUUAUAUAGCAGCUGAUAUGGUUUAAAAUGCCGAAUACCAUCAUCUAACAUUCAGAUAAGUAUUUUAUUUGCCAUAAUUGUUUUUUUUUUAAAACAGUUAGAGAUUGUAUUCUACGAUUUUAAGUUCUACCUCUCAUGUACAUUGUAUUUCAUAGUUAGUGAGUUCGCUACCUUUGUUCUCUACCUUGCCUUAAUUAAAUAAAUCAGUUAGCUUUAGUAUUAUACAAUAUAAAAGUGCAUGAUUUUUUUAGUUUCCGACUGUUUAAUACAUUUGAAUAUUCUUUUACUUUUUGAAAACCCAAUUUUCUAGUUAUCUAGACACAUCAGCACGAACACGUGCCAUCAGCACGAACACGUGCUUGGUUUCUCCUAAACAGAUAGUGAUUCAACAUUGACGAUUUAUACUGUUUAUCUAUAUAUCUGGUUUAUAUUUCAAUAUGUUACGAAUUUCAAUUACUGCAGUAUCUGCCCUAUCUGAAGCAGAAUUCUGUUGUUAUUCAUUGAAUGAAUUUAGUUGGGGUUUUUUCACCGCAUAAUAUAAAUUAUAAUGAGUUUGCGUACAUUUUAUUUCUAAUACCAAUUCUUGUGUGGUGUCAAUUAUCAUCCACUUAUUCAGUAGGUGGUUAAUAUAAGAUAAAACGAACAGUAAUGGUUAUAUACAACUUUCGUGAAAAACCCUUAUCGAAUAUAGACAACUGAAUUUUCUACAGACUGGUUAUAUUUGUUUAGAAUAAGUGCCAGCUCUUUUUUUGAGAAUUGUUAUUAUACCUGUAAAUAAAAUGGGUAGCUUAAAUAUUUAAAGCUUUGACAAUCUUAACCUUUCGGAUGUUGGUCGUAUAAACCUCUGGUUAAAUGCCGAUUUAAAUAAAUUAGUACUACCACGCGGUCUUAGACCGUUAGUUGUGGGCGUGGUCUUUGAUAAUGUAUAAAGUAUGUAUAUAUUUGACAUUGUUGGGUAGAGCAGACUAUUUUUCACUUAUUAUCUUGCUGGGAGGCCAAACAUUUAUAACAUUUUUUUUUUCUACACUCACAUGUGAAUGAUAUUUUGUUGUAAAGUUGCAUUUGGUAAUAAGGGUUUAUCGCAACAUAAACUUGAUGUGCGAUCGGCCGUGUAAAGUGGACAUCUGCUCAGUACUAUAAAUUCUGAGUAUACCUAGCUUAUAAUUUAUUUCUUACACAAAAUUAAAUCUUUUCCGAUUAUACUCUUCGUUUUAUGUAUCACCUUUUUCAUUCCUGCCAGAUAUAAAUAAAGGAAUUGAUGUAGUUUCUGGACAUUAUGCUACGACUGACCGCGUAUAAUUUAUGUUAUCAUGUGUUUAACUGUUUUCCUUGUCUUUCUAUGUAGCAUAACCAAAAGGAUUGGCAGGUCAUCGGCUCGUGAGUCUAAUCCCAUCAGUCAUCAAAGGACGCACACAUGUUGUCUUUUCUUAUGAAGAAAUUGGUCAUUCAAUCAGUAAACAAUAUGGCAUAGUGGCAUGGCAUGGUUUUUGGUUGACAGUUAACAAAGAAUUUCAAUACGCAUAUGGCGUCGAGCUGUGAGCCGGACUCCAUUCCACUGUUAAACCAUGCCAUGCCAUGCUGCUUGCCCAACUAAAGAGUACCACAAUAAGGAGACCAUCCGUAAUUAACUUGGACAUAGUGUUAACUUUCAUCACUGUAUGAUGUUCAUAGCUGAGACAAAAGCUGUCUGCAGUGGACAUUUAACUUAUAAACAGUUUUAAAACUUGUAAUCUUUAACAGUGUUAAAAGGCGUAACUAAUAAUUGUGCAAAUGCGUAAAGUUAAAAAAUACUCCAAUAGAACAUUUAAAUAAUUUCAAAACAUGCGUAAAUGUAAAAUUUGUAUCAAUUUGCAAGGAUGCGAUCCGACAUCCGGUGGUAUGACAUUGACAAACGGAUGCAGGUUUCCUAUUUUCCCAAUGGGUUUUGGUUUUCCUGAGCGAGUCGACCACAGUUUGCAGAUUGAUUAAUUGCGCAUGUUAGACUUUUUAUUGGGCACACAAUUGUCCUUUGUCGAAAUUUAACCUAGAGAUAACUCAAUUGUAUCAGUUUCGAGAUGAACUUGUAUGUUAUAAGAUUUUUUCCUUUUUUUUGUGUGUGUGUUAAUUGACAUGUUAACCCCCCCCCCCCUGUUCUAAUCGUCCGUCGUGACUUUAGCUCUUUCAUUUUAUUGAACUUAAUUUUGAAAGUCAUCUAUUUCACUCGUCAAAGAUUUUACUCUAAUGCAAUUUUAUUUUUUUUGUGUGAGCACCGGUUUUGUUUUAUAAAUGA
This is a long non-coding RNA of Ruditapes philippinarum (Manila clam), 2319 nucleotides long. RefSeq lists it as uncharacterized. Lineage: Eukaryota; Metazoa; Mollusca; Bivalvia; Venerida; Veneridae. The transcript is spliced from 2 exons. The record is from RefSeq and is a predicted model, not a curated record.